GGCGAGAUGGCCGAGCGGUCUAAGGCGCUGUGUUAAGGUGAUACCCGUAUCAUCCGCAGUCUUCGGACGUGGGUUCGAAUCCCACUCUCGUCA
The sequence is a transfer RNA, 93 nucleotides long. It matches the Rfam family "tRNA". Rfam says of the family: Transfer RNA (tRNA) molecules are approximately 80 nucleotides in length. Their secondary structure includes four short double-helical elements and three loops (D, anti-codon, and T loops). The record is from Rfam.